GAUACGCGAGGAACCUUACCUGGGCUUAAAUGUAGAGUGCAUUUUCUAGAGAUAGGAAUUCCCUUCGGGCUUUCUGCAAGGUGCUGCAUGGUUGUCGUCAGCUCGUGCCGUGAGGUGUCGGGUUAAGUCCCAUAACGAGCGCAACCCUUAUCGUUAGUUGCCAUCUGGUAAAGCAGGGGACUCUAGCGAAACUGCCACCGUAAGGUGAGAGGAAGGUGGGAUGACGUCAAAUCAGCACGGCCCUUAUGUCCAGGGCUACACACGUGUUACAAUGGCCGGUACAGAGGGCAGCUACCUGGUGACAGGAUGCUAAUCUACGAAGACCGGUCUCAGUUCGGAUCGAAGUCUGCAACUCGACUUCGUGAAGCUGGAUUCGCUAGUAAUCGCGCAUCAGCCAUGGCGCGGUCGAAUACGUUCCCGGGCCUU
Molecule: ribosomal RNA, 426 nt
Filed under: uncultured Sphingobacteriales bacterium
Lineage: Bacteria; Pseudomonadati; Bacteroidota; Sphingobacteriia; Sphingobacteriales
Description: bacterial SSU rRNA
Rfam family: Bacterial small subunit ribosomal RNA
Source: RNAcentral